AGGACGAACGCUGGCGGCGUGCUUAACACAUGCAAGUCGAGCGGAAAGGCCCUUCGGGGUACUCGAGCGGCGAACGGGUGAGUAACACGUGAGUAACCUGCCCCUAGCUCUGGGAUAGCUCCGGGAAACCGGGAUUAAAUACCAGAUACGACCACUUUAGACAUCUGUCGUGGUGGAAAGGAUUCCGGCUAGGGAUGGGCUCGCGGCCUAUCAGCUUGUUGGUGGGUAACGCCUACCAAGGCGACGACGGGUA
This 253-nucleotide ribosomal RNA is filed under the name uncultured bacterium. Its description in RNAcentral is "partial small subunit ribosomal RNA". It matches the Rfam family "Bacterial small subunit ribosomal RNA", at positions 26 to 285 of the family's 1533-position model. The record is from RNAcentral.